Molecule: long non-coding RNA, 805 nt
Filed under: Musa acuminata (dwarf banana)
Lineage: Eukaryota; Viridiplantae; Streptophyta; Magnoliopsida; Zingiberales; Musaceae
Description: long non-coding RNA (MACU_LNC009667)
Source: RNAcentral
GUAUAAGAAUUCAGUUCAGUGCAAGGGUUGUUGUUGAAGAAGCUAAAGCGGGGGAAUCAAAGACAGAAGUCGGAACUCCACUAGUACUUAACCUAGGACUUAUAAGACUUAAACCGGUGGGGCCUUCUAAUACUUUUUAUUAGAAUAAGGAAUCCAACCACUACUUCUAAGCAUGAAGCUAACAUCGAACUCUGGGGUCGCCAACUCAACUCUCAAGUGGGAAAUCCAGAAUGAAGUUCAAAACAAAGAGUACGUAAUGGAGGACAAAAACAAUCAAGUAAGAAUUGACUCCAGUAGUCAAAGAGACAAGUAGGAAUUUCAGAAGUCAUCUAUAAAGUAGGGGUACUCGGCUCAGGGGACUAAACUCCUAUUAGAGUUAUAAGACUCAUUAGGUAGUAGGGGUAUGGUACGAUCUAGGACAUGAGACUAAAGCAACAACUAAAUAAAGAAAAGAGCGCAUAGAACACAAGCCGGACUUUUGUUCGUUUCAAACUGGUAUUACUGAACCUAAUGCCUUUGUGUAUCGAUGUCCAAGCUUAUAUUUGAGUUUGAUGAUCCAUAGGCCCACUCUACUAUUGAAAUCUGGUAUUAGCCUUGGUAACUCCCUUCUUUCAUUCGUGUAUUUGCCCCUUCCAUUCCUUAGUUGUCCCUUGCACCCUUUUGCCUGUGAGUGAGAGCCUUAUUUGAGACUUAUUGUAGCAACGACGAUUGAUUCUAACUACUCUUGCUUCCUGGCCUACACGCCUUUAUCCCCGGAACUCAAAGCUACCCUUACUCGAUCUCAUUCUUGAGCUCCCGAACAAAG